CCUUCACUGAUGAUUCACUCCAUGACUUUCGUUCUCCUGAGCUUUGCUGAAGCAACGCUUUUUGUAUCUGAGGAGG
RNAcentral lists this small nucleolar RNA (76 nucleotides) under Hirundo rustica (Barn swallow). RNAcentral describes it as "Small nucleolar RNA SNORD59". It matches the Rfam family "Small nucleolar RNA SNORD59". From Rfam's summary of the family: U59 belongs to the C/D class of snoRNA which contain the C (UGAUGA) and D (CUGA) box motifs. Most of the members of the box C/D family function in directing site-specific 2'-O-methylation of substrate RNAs. The record is from Rfam by way of RNAcentral. RNAcentral also lists the same sequence under 6 other names. Lineage: Eukaryota; Metazoa; Chordata; Aves; Passeriformes; Hirundinidae.